CUGUCAUGUUUCCCCUGAAUAGCAAAAUUACUUAUUCGUUUUACUACGCUUUCAAUAUACGACAUAAAUCGAGUACGAAAAAUUCACUGAACAACUCUGCGUAGCUAGCUCUUAAGCUCUUUAUUUCGAAAAAGAUUGUAAAAAUGUCCGAUAAAAGCGAUGUUGACGAACUCGGUGAAGCUGGACCCAGCAGCAAAAAACAAAAAACUACGCAUAGUGAUGAUUUAAACGACCCGAGUGAAGUUAUGCAUUUUAUACUACCGAAAUGCAUACAAAUUCGCCGAAUUGAAACUCCAGAACGUAAUACUGACGAAAUAAUUAAAAAAAUUGAACAGCUCGACAAAAAGAUAGACAUCAUAAACUAUAACUGCGUGGGCGUUAAGCGGCUGGUUGAAAAUUUACAAAAAUCAGUGGAUAAGAUUAUGAAAAUUGUUAUGCCGAAAACAACGUCAAUGAGAGUAGAGUUCCCACUUAGCGAUGACGCUGAUUUAAACAGACUUGAAGAGUUAAGCAAAAACGCAGAUGUGGAGGCAGUACUCCAACAAAAGUUCUCAUCGUUAUCUAACAAAUCAGCGUAUGAUUUGUUCCGUGUAGCGGUGCAAAACAUGUUCCAGAAUACAGGUCGACAUACGUGGA
Molecule: long non-coding RNA, 636 nt
Organism: Ochlerotatus camptorhynchus
Lineage: Eukaryota; Metazoa; Arthropoda; Insecta; Diptera; Culicidae
Exons: 4
Source: RefSeq, a predicted model, not a curated record